UGUGCACCAGCGGGGUCCCUUGGCCUGGCCUGCACCCUCUCGCAAUCUGGGACCCCUCAGGGGAUGUCAGAGAGCCGGUUUAGGCCCUAUUCUGCAGGCCAGGCCAAGGGACUCCACUGGUGCAUG
Myotis brandtii (Brandt's bat) is the source of this 126-nucleotide non-coding RNA. NCBI's taxonomy places the organism in Eukaryota, Metazoa, Chordata, Mammalia, Chiroptera, Vespertilionidae. The record is from Rfam.